GCAUCCGUAGCUCAGCUGGAUAGAGUACUCGGCUACGAACCGAGCGGUCGGACCGAGUAAUCCUCCCGGAUGCACCA
Molecule: transfer RNA, 77 nt
Filed under: Citrobacter sp. wls618
Lineage: Bacteria; Pseudomonadati; Pseudomonadota; Gammaproteobacteria; Enterobacterales; Enterobacteriaceae
Description: tRNA-Arg
Source: RNAcentral